AACGAACGCUGGCGGCAUGCCUAACACAUGCAAGUCGAACGAGACCUUCGGGUCUAGUGGCGCACGGGUGCGUAACGCGUGGGAACCUGCCCUUAGGUUCGGAAUAACUCCCCGAAAGGGGUGCUAAUACCGGAUAAUGUCUUCGGACCAAAGAUUUAUCGCCUUUGGAUGGGCCCGCGUUGGAUUAGCUAGUUGGUAGGGUAAAAGCCUACCAAGGCGACGAUCCAUAGCUGGUCUGAGAGGAUGAUCAGCCACACUGGGACUGAGACACGGCCCAGACUCCUACGGGGGGGAGCAGGGGGGAAUAUGGAAAAAUGGGGGAAGGCCUGACCCAGAAAGGCCGGGUGAGGGAGAAAGGCCUUAGGGUUGAAAAGCUUUUUUACCCGGGAUGAAAAUAACAGUAACGGGAAAAAAAGCCCCGGCUAACCCCGU
This 432-nucleotide ribosomal RNA is filed under the name uncultured bacterium. RNAcentral's name for it is "partial 16S ribosomal RNA". It matches the Rfam family "Bacterial small subunit ribosomal RNA", at positions 29 to 506 of the family's 1533-position model. The record is from RNAcentral.